AGUGAACGCUGGCGGUAGGCCUAACACAUGCAAGUCGAACGGCAGCACAGUAAGAGCUUGCUCUUACGGGUGGCGAGUGGCGGACGGGUGAGGAAUACAUCGGAAUCUACUUUUUCGUGGGGGAUAACGUAGGGAAACUUACGCUAAUACCGCAUACGACCUACGGGUGAAAGCAGGGGAUCUUCGGACCUUGCGCGAUUGAAUGAGCCGAUGUCGGAUUAGCUAGUUGGGGGGGGAAAGGCCCACCAAGGCGACGAUCCGUAGCUGGUCUGAGAGGAUGAUCAGCCACACUGGAACUGAGACACGGUCCAGACUCCUACGGGAGGCAGCAGUGGGGAAUAUUGGACAAUGGGCGCAAGCCUGAUCCAGCCAUACCGCGUGGGUGAAGAAGGCCUUCGGGUUGUAAAGCCCUUUUGUUGGGAAAGAAAAGCAGCAGGUUAAUACCCCGCUGUUCUGACGGUACCCAAAGAAUAAGCACCGGCUAACUUCGUG
Molecule: ribosomal RNA, 492 nt
Filed under: uncultured bacterium
Lineage: Bacteria
Description: partial 16S ribosomal RNA
Rfam family: Bacterial small subunit ribosomal RNA
Source: RNAcentral